This is a long non-coding RNA of Dreissena polymorpha, 449 nucleotides long. RefSeq lists it as uncharacterized. The record is from RefSeq and is a predicted model, not a curated record. NCBI's taxonomy places the organism in Eukaryota, Metazoa, Mollusca, Bivalvia, Myida, Dreissenidae. The transcript has 3 exons.
CUAUAUAUCUUGAUGGCGGCUCAAAUCCGCAUUCGGGAUUUGUAAAUGUGCAGAAGAACGGACGUAGCGUUUAUAUGUGUGCUGAUAAUUUAACUGCUGAGACCCAGGCUGUCAUGUGCAAAAUGCUGUUCAACAUCACCAGGGAUUAUACAUUAGUUGAUCAACCGUAUUUCAAGGCUGGGGUUGCGUCCGGUUCAGUUGUUGACAAUAUCCAGUGCACGGGUAUUGAGGACGAUUAUCAAAUGUGUCCAUCAUCGGACUGGUUUUCAAAUUCAAAUUGCAAGAAUCCAGCUUUUCUAAGAUGCAAUACACCUGUUCGUCUCCGAGAUGGAAGAAAUAUUUAUACAGGAAAUGUGGAGGUCUUCAUUAACAAGACAUGGUCAAACGUAUGUUUCGACCCUUCUCGCAACGCUAUGAAUGCAAAGAUGUUCUGCAGAAUGUUGGGUUAC